GGUGAAUAACACGUGGGUAACCUGCCCUAAAGUCUGGGAUACCACUUGGAAACAGGUGCUAAUACCGGAUAACAACAAUAGCUGCAUGGCUAUUGCUUAAAAGGCGGCGAAAGCUGUCGCUAAAGGAUGGACCCGCGGUGCAUUAGCUAGUUGGUAAGGUAAUGGCUUACCAAGGCGACGAUGCAUAGCCGAGUUGAGAGACUGAUCGGCCACAUUGGGACUGAGACACGGCCCAAACUCCUACGGGAGGCAGCAGUAGGGAAUCUUCCACAAUGGGCGAAAGCCUGAUGGAGCAACGCCGCGUGAGUGAAGAAGGUUUUCGGAUCGUAAAGCUCUGUUGUUGGUGAAGAAGGAUAGAGGUAGUAACUGGCCCCUAUUUGACGGUAAUCAACCAGAAAGUCACGGCUAACUACGUGCCAGCAGCCGCGGUAAUACGUAGGUGGCAAGCGUUGUCCGGAUUUAUUGGGCGUAAAGCGAGCGCAGGCGGAAAGAUAAGUCUGAUGUGAAAGCCCCCGGCUUAACCGAGGAAUUGCAUCGGAAACUGUGUUUCUUGAGUGCAGAAGAGGAGAGUGGAACUCCAUGUGUAGCGGUGGAAUGCGUAGAUAUAUGGAAGAACACCAGUGGCGAAGGCGGCUCUCUGGUCUGUAACUGACGCUGAGGCUCGAAAGCAUGGGUAGCGAACAGGAUUAGAUACCCUGGUAGUCCAUGCCGUAAACGA
This 718-nucleotide ribosomal RNA is filed under the name uncultured bacterium. RNAcentral describes it as "bacterial SSU rRNA". It matches the Rfam family "Bacterial small subunit ribosomal RNA", at positions 105 to 809 of the family's 1533-position model. The record is from RNAcentral.